Molecule: long non-coding RNA, 221 nt
Filed under: Polistes fuscatus (common paper wasp)
Lineage: Eukaryota; Metazoa; Arthropoda; Insecta; Hymenoptera; Vespidae
Description: uncharacterized LOC122522909
Source: RNAcentral
AUCGAAAUUCAUUGAUCCAAUGCGUUGAGCACAAGAAGAAACAUUGACAAUUCUACUAUUUUGUUUUGGACGACUACCAGCUUUCAAUAGAGAAAUUAAUUUCUCCCCAGCAGAAGGCGUUCGACAAGCUGUAAUAUUAAUACAUAUAAUAGUAUAUAUAAUAGUACUAGCUUCAAAAUUGUAAAAAGGACAUUAUUAUAAUAUUUACCGAUUAUUACUUC